GGGCCCGCACAAGCGGUGGAGCAUGUGGUUUAAUUCGAUGAUACGCGAGGAACCUUACCAGGGCUUAAAUGUAAGUUGCAUAAGUUAGAGAUAGCUUUUUCUUCGGACUACUUACAAGGUGCUGCAUGGUUGUCGUCAGCUCGUGCCGUGAGGUGUCAGGUUAAGUCCUAUAACGAGCGCAACCCCUAUCGUUAGUUGCCAGCGGGUAAUGCCGGGAACUCUAGCGAAACUGCCGGUGCAAACCGUGAGGAAGGUGGGGAUGACGUCAAAUCAUCACGGCCCUUACGUCCUGGCCUACACACGUGCUACAAUGGUCGGUACAGAGAGCAGCCACUACGCGAGUAGGAGCG
Molecule: ribosomal RNA, 350 nt
Filed under: uncultured bacterium
Lineage: Bacteria
Description: bacterial SSU rRNA
Rfam family: Bacterial small subunit ribosomal RNA
Source: RNAcentral